Molecule: ribosomal RNA, 465 nt
Filed under: uncultured Klebsiella sp.
Lineage: Bacteria; Pseudomonadati; Pseudomonadota; Gammaproteobacteria; Enterobacterales; Enterobacteriaceae
Description: bacterial SSU rRNA
Rfam family: Bacterial small subunit ribosomal RNA
Source: RNAcentral
CCUACGGGUGGCUGCAGUGGGGAAUAUUGCACAAUGGGCGCAAGCCUGAUGCAGCCAUGCCGCGUGUGUGAAGAAGGCCUUCGGGUUGUAAAGCACUUUCAGCGGGGAGGAAGGCGUUAAGGUUAAUAACCUUGGCGAUUGACGUUACCCGCAGAAGAAGCACCGGCUAACUCCGUGCCAGCAGCCGCGGUAAUACGGAGGGUGCAAGCGUUAAUCGGAAUUACUGGGCGUAAAGCGCACGCAGGCGGUCUGUCAAGUCGGAUGUGAAAUCCCCGGGCUCAACCUGGGAACUGCAUUCGAAACUGGCAGGCUAGAGGCUUGUAGAGGGGGGUAGAAUUCCAGGUGGAGCGGUGAAAUGCGUAGAGAGCUGGAGGAAUACCGGUGGCGAAGGCGGCCCCCUGGACAAAGACUGACGCUCAGGUGCGAAAGCGUGGGGAGCAAACAGGAUUAGAUACCCGAGUAGUC